GCAGGGAGCGGGGUGGAUUUGACCUGGGAAUGUUGCCAGGAAGUUACAUUGGGGAUGAGAAGGAAGCUACCUGAGCUAGGGGUGCAGGGGUGAGACAAG
Non-coding RNA from Chelonoidis abingdonii (Abingdon island giant tortoise), 99 nucleotides. The record is from RefSeq and is a predicted model, not a curated record. NCBI's taxonomy places the organism in Eukaryota, Metazoa, Chordata, Testudines, Testudinidae.